CUAGCGGUCGGUGUAGUUUUUUGAUAGUUGGGCGGCGUCACGCCGUCGCAUAAAUAACACGUUUUAGCAGUAAAUGUGUUUGUCUGCGUAAUGGAGGCUAAUUGUAAAAUCCUACAAUCAGCUUGACUUAAGCAAUAUUAAAAAACCUGGCCGAUUUGUUAUCUAUAUCCGACUAUAAGUCGGACUCGCCCAUUAAGUGUUUCGUAGCAGCAAAUAUUUUUUUUAUAUAUAUAAGUAUUUGAGUUGAUUGAAUGAAAGAAUACAUCUUAUCAAGUUUCAACAGUAUAGUUCUUAUAGUUUCGGAAAAAGUGGCUGUGACAUACGGACAUGACGAAUCUAUUAAGUGUUCCGUUUUUUACCAAUUGGCUACGGAAACUUAAAAAGAUGUCAUAUCUGAAAACGAAGUAAGUUUGCAACAGUAAUGACUGUCAAAUGUCCAUGAUGAAGAAGAAAAAAUUGGAAAUUUACAACAAGAUGGCACAGAAACUGGUAACAUUGAGCGAUUAAAGCAUUUACCUUAAUUACAU
This is a long non-coding RNA of Leptidea sinapis, 527 nucleotides long. RefSeq lists it as uncharacterized. The transcript is spliced from 3 exons. NCBI's taxonomy places the organism in Eukaryota, Metazoa, Arthropoda, Insecta, Lepidoptera, Pieridae. The record is from RefSeq and is a predicted model, not a curated record.